Molecule: long non-coding RNA, 2203 nt
Filed under: Bemisia tabaci
Lineage: Eukaryota; Metazoa; Arthropoda; Insecta; Hemiptera; Aleyrodidae
Description: lncRNA ENSSSA3NGG010146
Source: RNAcentral
AUGGUAUUACUCAAUUCAAAUUUGUCACCUCUCUCAAAAAUGUUAUUUUCUUUUGAUUUUUGUUUUUUUUACCCUUCCAAGCAGGUUGUCAAAAUGACACUGUCAAAAAAAUCACCAGGAGGUCUGAAAAAGGAGCGCAAAUUGAAGGAUGUUAAAGCUCUCUCACGGAAAAGUAAAACUUUGGUUAAGCCAAAGAAGCCUCUCACGUCGCCCUCCAAGAAAUCCAAAAAUAUAGGACAAAUAGCAGCCCAGAGUAAAAUUUUGGAUAAAGUAUGGAGGAAAGCAAUUCAAAGUUUAUCCAGUGAAAGCAAUUUAUCUCCUGUACAUUUAGAAAUGUUGCAAAAAUUUCAAGGCCAAACAGUUCCUCAAAAGAAGAGGAAAUUAUUUGUGAAAUGGGUGGCAACGUCACUGAAAAUGGAGAAGGAUAAAUAUCGCCCAGUCAUUGAGGAGCUUUACGAAGUAAUCAAAGCACGCAGAGAUGAAGAAAUGGCAAAAUUAACUGCUGAAAAAGCAUUAGGUACUGAGAAGAAAAGCAGGCGACAAAAACUCAGAGAAAAGAAACUGAAGAAAAAGUUGAAGAAAAAAUUAAAAGGCAGUGACCAAGACAAGCUCGAAGAAGCAAUGGAGGAAGAAAAGUCUAAAAUAGAGUUUGUCGUCCCAGCAGCCACCAAACGGAAACAUAAGAAGAAGCAUAUUAGGGAAAUACUGAAGGAAAAGAAACAGAAGAAAUCUGGUGGAGGAGCAAUGGAGGUAGAUUCAGCAUUUUCAGCUGAACCGAAACACACUAAAUUUGAUGACAAUAGUAUUGAAGACACUUCUGUGGCUGAUCAACCAAUGGAGGAAUGUAUGGAAGUUAGCUCUAGUUCAAUUUCUAAGAAAAAGAAAAAGAAGAAAAGUGUACUGUUCACAUGAUUAAGAUAAUUGUAUAUAAAGUUAAAUCCGUCAUUGCCUUCAGGUACAUAAUUUUUGCACACAUUCAUAAGUGGCUAUAAAAUCCUCUCCAAUUUCAGGUAUUUUUGUCUCCAUCUUGCAGUCAUACAGCAAAUACAUGUUUUCCUUAGUGUUAUUACGAAGUUCAUUUAAUUCAGGGUGCAAUCAAUUUUUGAUGGGACAUUUUCUCUGAAAUAAAAUUAAAUGAUUGUGAUAAUAAGUGAAAUAUUAUUUUUAUCAAAGUACCCGAUGAGCUUGCAAUAAUAGAAAAUCAAUCAGACAGAAUCAGCAUAACUGCACAACUUUAAUUUUCUCUCACACUUUAUUUUUCAACAGAGAGCUAAACUAGUUCACGCCUUUAAACUCUCUGCAAAUUAACCUCAGAUUACAAAGAAUAUAUUCCCAAAAUUGCAAGUUUCUGUUUGACUUGGUUUUCUGCUUAAUGAAUAAAAUAUCAAGGCAAUAUCUGAUGUAGUUAAGCUGAUCUCAGCAUAACUUGUCCAAUUAUUACUGUUCUAUUUUUUUAUUUUGUUCUCUUUUAUUUUCAAAAUUUUUCAAUGUUCUCGCGGAGCAUAUAGCCUCUACCAGGAUCUGAGAUAGUAUCUUUGCCUCUUCUCCUCUGCCUUUUGCCUCAGAGGAUAUUGAUAGAAAUAGACCUUGGAAUCUUGAAAUUUGCCUGACUCACUGAUUAACAAAAGACAUGCAUGGAUAAUUUAUAUAAAAUUUUGCCCACAUGAUAUAGAAUGCAAAAUUUUAAGUUGUAGUGUCGCUUAGUUUUUUGUUUGAAAAAGUUAAAAAUUGCAUUCACUGUUGAGUAAUAUCCUCUCCUGUUCGAUUUUUUAACAAACAACUGAACAACUUAUGAAUUUGAAAUUUUCUGUCUUUUUGUAGAAUACAAAGAAUAUGCUCACAAAAUUCCUAAGCAGAACAUUGCUCAGUUCUCUGUUCGAAAAUAAAGCAUGAGCCAAAAUUAGGCAUUGUCAUUGUCUAAUGCAGUAAGGUUGAUUCUGAUUAAAUCUGGUUUGUGGUAAAAACACUAAAAAAGGAGACAUUUUUUUGCUUCAACAUUUAUUUUUAUCUCACACAAUCAGUGAAUACAUUUAUACAAGUUUAUUUACAAAGAUUAUUCAGGUAAUCUUAAUUGUGAAACAGAGCUUCAGCCGUGUUUGAAUUAAUGGUCGAGUAUGCCACACAAGUAGUUCGUUUUUAUUUUUAAUAAUGGGUUACACUUUCUUUCAUUAUUUGAAUCUGUCACUUUUAAUCUCUCUUGCUC